CUCAAUAUCAACCAGCCCUGACUACAGUCAACCAGCGUGUUGUUCUUGUCUUUCCUUUCUUUGGGAUCACCGUGUCUGCCAGAAUGGAAGGACUGAUUUCCUAGAUUGCCAAAGAAUCGACACUUCAGGGAUAGCGAUCAUGUUCCAGCAAGAAGGCCAACUAAGUUAUGCUGUUACACAAACCUGAAUAUGCUGAGUAAAUUGUACUUUUAAAAAACACGUGACAAGGAAUUCCAAAACCAGCAGGAGAGAGAAGAGACUCUCCAGUUGCCAAAAACUAGAGAAAGCAUAAAGCAAAAUAGAAUUUACUCAACUGAUUUGAAAAUGUGAAGAAACUUGAAUGCAAAUAGCACCAUCAUUCAUGAUCACCAGAAACUGGAUGCAUACGAUAUGACCUUCAAUAGAAACCAAGUGCAGAUAUAAUGAAACUAAACUUUACUAGGAUAUCAAGGGACAUACGACAUGUACUAUUUUCCAUAACCUUCCUACCCCACUGAGUAGUGGACAUUAUUCUGAAAUGGUUUCUUGGAAGAAGAUAAAGGAGAUACAUAUACACUCCUUCAAACAAGAUUAUUAUCACAGGUGCAAAAGAUCAGUUUUGACAGGAUUGUUUCCAACUGCAAUCUGAGCAUGUCUCCAGAGAAAACUAUUCACUAGCAAUUGGAGAGUUUAUGUUAAGCUUGAGAUGAAUAUCAUUGAAAAUAUCAGC
This is a non-coding RNA of Sus scrofa (pig), 709 nucleotides long. The record is from RefSeq and is a predicted model, not a curated record. NCBI's taxonomy places the organism in Eukaryota, Metazoa, Chordata, Mammalia, Artiodactyla, Suidae.